AACUGGGAUUAGAUACCCCACUAUGCCUAGCCGUAAACAUUGAUAGUACGUUACAUCUGCUAUCCGCCCGGGUACUACGAGCAUCAGCUUAAAACCCAAAGGACUUGGCGGUGCUUUAGAUCCACCUAGAGGAGCCUGUUCUAGAACCGAUAAUCCCCGUUAAACCUCACCUUUCCUUGUUUUCCCAGCCUAUAUACCGCCGUCGUCAGCUUACCCUGCGAAGGACCAACAGUAAGCAAAAUUGGCACAGCCCAGAACGCCAGGUCGAGGUGUAGCCUAUGGAAAGGGAAGAAAUGGGCUACAUUCAAUAUUACAAUGAAUACGAAUGGGGGGUUGAAACACCCCCCUGAAGGAGGAUUUAGCAGUAAGCAGGAAAUAGAGAGUCCCGCUGAAAUUGGCCCUGAAGCGCGUACACACCGCCCGUCACUCUCCC
This 433-nucleotide ribosomal RNA is filed under the name Symphodus rostratus. Its description in RNAcentral is "partial 12S ribosomal RNA". It matches the Rfam family "Bacterial small subunit ribosomal RNA", at positions 770 to 1406 of the family's 1533-position model. Lineage: Eukaryota; Metazoa; Chordata; Actinopteri; Labriformes; Labridae. The record is from RNAcentral.